RNAcentral lists this ribosomal RNA (426 nucleotides) under uncultured Lactobacillus sp. RNAcentral's name for it is "bacterial SSU rRNA". It matches the Rfam family "Bacterial small subunit ribosomal RNA", at positions 122 to 524 of the family's 1533-position model. The record is from RNAcentral. Lineage: Bacteria; Bacillati; Bacillota; Bacilli; Lactobacillales; Lactobacillaceae.
UAACCCUGCCCUUAAGUCUGGGGAUACCAUUUGGAAACAGAUGCUAAUACCGGAUAAAAGCUACUUUCGCAUGAAAGAAGUUUAAAAGGCGGCGUAAAGCUGUCGCUAAAGGGAUGGGACCUGCGAUGCAUUAGCUAGUUGGUAAGGUAACGGCUUACCAAGGCGAUGAUGCAUAGCCCGAGUUGAGAGACUGAUCGGCCACAUUGGGGACUGAGACACGGCCCAAAACUCCUACGGGGAGGCAGCAGUAGGGAAUCUUCCACAAUGGACGAAAGUCUGAUGGAGCAACGCCGCGUGAGUGAAGAAGGUUUUCGGAUCGUAAAAGCUCUGUUGUUGGUGAAGAAGGAUAGAGGUAGUAACUGGCCUUUAUUUGACGGUAAUCAACCAGAAAGUCACGGCUAACUACGUGCCAGCAGCCGCGGUAAU